This is a long non-coding RNA of Rosa chinensis, 214 nucleotides long. RefSeq lists it as uncharacterized. The record is from RefSeq and is a predicted model, not a curated record. Lineage: Eukaryota; Viridiplantae; Streptophyta; Magnoliopsida; Rosales; Rosaceae. The transcript has 3 exons.
UUGGAGACUUGGUUCGAUUCAGAAAUUUUCAAGCUCGGAUACAAGAGUAUGUUGAAGCUACAAGCUUCUGUCAAUUCUGGAGGGGCUUUUGAAUGGCCAGGUUUUGCAGCUUUAACAGCUUUAAGAUGAGAGCAACCCAGAUUUUGUUGUGGAAGCGGUGUAUCUGUUCUUUGAUGAUUCUGAGAAGCUUCUGAAUUAUAUCACCAGAGCUCUG